GACGAACGCUGGCGGCGUGCCUAAUACAUGCAAGUUGAGCGAUGAAGAUUGAUGCUUGCACCAAUUUGCAGAGCAGCGAACGGGUGAGUAACGCGUGGGGAAUCUGCCUUUGAGCGGGGGACAACAUUUGGAAACGAAUGCUAAUACCGCAUAACAACUUUAAACAUAAGUUUUAAGUUUGAAAGAUGCAAUUGCAUCACUCAAAGAUGAUCCCGCGUUGUAUUAGCUAGUUGGUGAGGUAAAGGCUCACCAAGGCGAUGAUACAUAGCCGACCUGAGAGGGUGAUCGGCCACAUUGGGACUGCGACACGGCACAGACUCCCACGGGAGGCAGCAGUAGGGAAUCGUCGGCAAUGGACGAAAGUCUGACCGAGCAACGCCGCGUGAGGGAAGAAGGUUGUCGGAUCGGAAAACUCUGUUGGUAGAGAAGAACGUUGGUGAGAGUGGAAAGCUCAUCAAGUGACGGUAACUACCCAGAAAGGGACGGCUAACUACGUG
RNAcentral lists this ribosomal RNA (497 nucleotides) under uncultured bacterium. Its description in RNAcentral is "partial 16S ribosomal RNA". It matches the Rfam family "Bacterial small subunit ribosomal RNA", at positions 28 to 507 of the family's 1533-position model. The record is from RNAcentral.